This 253-nucleotide ribosomal RNA is filed under the name uncultured bacterium. Its description in RNAcentral is "partial 16S ribosomal RNA". It matches the Rfam family "Bacterial small subunit ribosomal RNA", at positions 524 to 776 of the family's 1533-position model. The record is from RNAcentral.
UACGUAGGGUGCGAGCGUUAAUCGGAAUUACUGGGCGUAAAGCGUGCGCAGGCGGUUCGCUGUGUCUGCUGUGAAAACUCGAGGCUCAACCUCGAGACGCCGGUUGAAACCAUCAGGCUAGAGUCCGGAAGAGGAGAGUGGAAUUCCCGGUGUAGCGGUGAAAUGCGCAGAUAUCGGGAAGAACACCCGUGGCUAAGGCGGCUCUCUAGUACGGUACUGACGCUGAGACGCGAAAGCGUGGGGAGCGAACAGG